This 131-nucleotide non-coding RNA is filed under the name Thermincola carboxydiphila JR. RNAcentral's name for it is "Thermincola potens JR FMN riboswitch aptamer (RFN element)". It matches the Rfam family "FMN riboswitch aptamer (RFN element)". From Rfam's summary of the family: The RFN element is a highly conserved domain that is found frequently in the 5'-untranslated regions of prokaryotic mRNAs that encode for flavin mononucleotide (FMN) biosynthesis and transport proteins. This element is a metabolite-dependent riboswitch that directly binds FMN in the absence of proteins. RNAcentral also lists the same sequence under 1 other name. The record is from Rfam by way of RNAcentral. Lineage: Bacteria; Bacillati; Bacillota; Clostridia; Eubacteriales; Thermincolaceae.
GAUUAUCUUCGGGGAAAGGUGCAAUUCCUUACCGGCGGUGAUGCCCGUUUUGGGAUGAGCCCGCGAGCCAGAAGGCCGAUUUGGUGAGAAUCCAAAGCCGACAGUUAAAGUCUGGAUGGGAGAAGAUAGUU